GACGAACGCUGGCGGCGUGCCUAAUACAUGCAAGUCGAACGCUUCUUUCCUCCCGAGUGCUUGCCCUCAAUUGGAAAGAGGAGUGGCGGACGGGUGAGUAACACGUGGGUAACCUACCCAUCAGAGGGGGAUAACACUUGGAAACAGGUGCUAAUACCGCAUAACAGUUUAUGCCGCAUGGCAUAAGAGUGAAAGGCGCUUUCGGGUGUCGCUGAUGGAUGGACCCGCGGUGCAUUAGCUAGUUGGUGAGGUAACGGCUCACCAAGGCCACGAUGCAUAGCCGACCUGAGAGGGUGAUCGGCCACACUGGGACUGAGACACGGCCCAGACUCCUACGGGAGGCAGCAGUAGGGAAUCUUCGGCAAUGGACGAAAGUCUGACCGAGCAACGCCGCGUGAGUGAAGAAGGUGUUCGGAUCGUAAAACUCUGUUGUUAGAGAAGAACAAGGACGUUAGUAACUGAACGUCCCCUGACGGUAUCUAACCAGAAAGACACGGCUAACUACGUG
This 508-nucleotide ribosomal RNA is filed under the name uncultured bacterium. Its description in RNAcentral is "partial 16S ribosomal RNA". It matches the Rfam family "Bacterial small subunit ribosomal RNA", at positions 28 to 507 of the family's 1533-position model. The record is from RNAcentral.